Mustela erminea (ermine) is the source of this 1696-nucleotide long non-coding RNA. RefSeq lists it as uncharacterized. The transcript has 3 exons. NCBI's taxonomy places the organism in Eukaryota, Metazoa, Chordata, Mammalia, Carnivora, Mustelidae. The record is from RefSeq and is a predicted model, not a curated record.
UCUCUGCCUACUUGUGAUCUCUGCCUAUCAAAUAAAUAAAUAAAAUCUUAAAAAAAAAAGUGUACAAUUUAAGUGUACAUAUUAAAACAAGUUCACAUAUAGGUGUAGCCACCUCCACGAUCAGUUUUAGAACACUUUUUUCAUCCUGAAAAGAAGCCCUGGACUCUGUGGGCUACAGGUUUUUUGUGGUUUUGGGUUUUUUUGUUUUGUUUUGUUUUUUGUUUUUUGUUUUUUUUUUUUUUUUGUGGCUGAUAAUGUGUAACAUGCUUCUGCACUUUACCACGUUUCAAGGUGAGGCGUUUCUGACCACAACGUUUAAUUUGGCACCCCUUCCUCGUUCUUUCUCCCCCUUACCUGCCUAUGACAUGCCACAGCCCUUAUCACCUGAUAUCUUUUAUAUUUUUGUAUAUCUGUCUUAAUGUCUGCUUUUCUCGGAAUGUAAGCUUUGUGGCAGCGUCUUUUGCCUGACUUAAAAUAUCCAGUGUGUGGCAGGUGUUUAGAUAUCUGUUGAAUGCAUUUGUUAAGCUUCCCGCUACCAGUGCGAUGGUUUUAGCUCCUUAUUUUUCACAAAAAACAGAGGAGGAGGGAAUUCUGUCAGAUCCUAGUACCUGUGCAGUUGACACAAAAUUUUACAGAUGACAGUAUGAUGAUCUGAAGAGCUUAUUAAUAGCUUGUCCAGAUUCACAAGCUUUUUUACUUGGUAGGGUCAGGGGUAGAAUCCAGCUCGCUUGAGGCUCAGGCUAGUCCUUUCACAUAAAGGGUUUGUCUCUUUGUCCCCCUGGUCCAUCCUUGGCCUUCUGAGAGACUCAGUGUGUCAGAGAAACCCUGAGGUUCUUUGUUGUUGAUUUUAGCAUUUGCUCUUUUUGACUCCUCCCAUUGCCCCUCUUGUUUCGGAUGGCUGUACUUCCUCCCGACCCUAAUUCAUUCAUAUCUUCUCUCUCUUUCUCUUUUUUCCAGACUGGGUUCCUUUUAAGACUUUCUUAUUUUCCCCCAAGUUCUCCCCCUGAAAGUCUCCUGUUCUGUCUCUUUCAUCUUAAAUAACUUAGAAAGGCAAACAAAUCUUGUAAGAAAAAGACCUACUAAUUUGCUGACUUGAGAGGGCCUGUUCAUCAAUUGGUAGUACAGGACUAGACAAAGAGAUGUUCUCAUUCGUGACCAGUUUCCUUAGGUCACGGGGGGUUGUGUUGAAGGGGGGUUGUGUUAGUCUCUUCUGGGGGUGAUAGAAGCACCCUGCUGCUGUGCAGGGGAUAGGGGAUACUCAGGGCUGGGAGAUGGGACCUCUGGCUGGACACUGUGGAUGGGAACAAAAGCCUGGGCAUUACGUGCCUUCACAAAAGCCUGGGCAUGAAGUGCCCCCACCUGAGAGCUGGAAAGAAGCUAUUUAUGGGCGAUUAUUUCGGAGAGGUGGUUUAUUUGAUGAAGUUAUGUAACCCUCUUUACAGCAGCCUAGUGUUGUUUAAAACUGUCAAAGCCUUCUCUAGGGCUUCCGCCUUAUAAAUAAUUUCUUCACUGGCCCCAAGUGUGUCUCAUGUGUGUUUUGUAUUUGUAGGUGGCUGCUUUGGUAUUUUCUGAAUGGGUGUGGCAACAGCAUUCAAUUCAAACCACAUGAGUUUGUUGCAAUACAUAGUGGUUCCUCUCUAAUUAAAAACUUGGAGUUUUGGGGUGCCUGGGUGGCUCAGUGGGUUAAGCCUCUGCC